Molecule: ribosomal RNA, 406 nt
Filed under: uncultured bacterium
Lineage: Bacteria
Description: partial 16S ribosomal RNA
Rfam family: Bacterial small subunit ribosomal RNA
Source: RNAcentral
AUUGAACGCUGGCGGCAGGCUUAACACAUGCAAGUCGAGCGAGCGGCGGACGGGUGCGUAAUGUCUGGGAAAUGGCCUGAUGGCGGGGGAUAACUACUGGAAACGGUAGCUAAUACCGCAUACCAUCAGCUGUGCCCUGGGGGGAUUAGCUAGUAGGUGGGGUAAUGGCUAACCUAGGCGACGAUCCCUCGCUGGUCUGAGAGCAUGACCAGCCACACUGUAACUGAGACACGGUCCAGACUCCUACGGGAGGCAGCAGUGGGGAAUAUUGCGCAAUGGGCGAAAGCCUGAUGCAGCCAAGCCGCGGGUGUGAAGAAGGCCUUCGGGUUGUAAAGCUCUUUCAGCGGGGAAGCGGUACUCGAAGAGGAAGCACCGGCUAACUCCGUGCCAGCAGCCGCGGUAAUUG